Caenorhabditis elegans is the source of this 147-nucleotide non-coding RNA. The record is from Ensembl. NCBI's taxonomy places the organism in Eukaryota, Metazoa, Nematoda, Chromadorea, Rhabditida, Rhabditidae.
UGGAAUCCGGCAAUGACAGCUGGAUUGUUGACGACGACAGUAAGGUUUCCGACACGCUCGUCUGAAAUUUUGAAGUAUUUUACUUUUCAUCUUCUAUUCAAAACUUACUGUAAAGUCCAAAGUUCUUGGCAAAUGAUUGGGACACAA